AUGCCGACUGAUCGAGCGCCCGGCCCUGAUGGUUUUAGUGGAGUUUUUCUCAAAGCGUGUUGGCCUAUCAUCAAACAAGACUUCUAUAACCUUUGUGACAAAUUUCAUCAAGGUGAAUUGAACCUCACAAGUAUAAACGAUGGCCUGAUAACCCUAAUCCCAAAAACCAACUCACCGGAGAAUGUGAAUGACUACAGACCGAUCACGCUGCUCAGUUGCUGCCUUAAGCUGAUCACCAAGCUUCUCGCCAACCGCCUUCAACAUGUCAUUUUAAAAAUCAUUCACACUAACCAGUAUGGUUUCAUCAAAGGGUGA
RNAcentral lists this ribosomal RNA (315 nucleotides) under Triticum aestivum (bread wheat). Its description in RNAcentral is "partial small subunit ribosomal RNA". The record is from RNAcentral. Lineage: Eukaryota; Viridiplantae; Streptophyta; Magnoliopsida; Poales; Poaceae.